This 447-nucleotide long non-coding RNA is filed under the name Jatropha curcas. RNAcentral's name for it is "long non-coding RNA (JCUR_LNC000937)". The record is from RNAcentral. Lineage: Eukaryota; Viridiplantae; Streptophyta; Magnoliopsida; Malpighiales; Euphorbiaceae.
AAAUAAUAUUAAAAAAAAAACCACUAAAGCAACAUGCAUAUAUUAUAUUAUCCAAACUGCAAGUGUACAAUUUGAGAAGUUUUGAAGUAAUCAAACUCAACAAACCCUUCCCUUUCUUGAAAAACUGGUGACCCAGAAACUGAAACUUUCAAUUCACUCAGUUUAUCUUUGAAAAGUGGAGAUCUUGGAAACCCGAUGGAAGGAAGCAUGUCGUCUUUUGUUUUUGGUGCUACUUGUUAAUUAAUGAUUUAAUCCAGCCAGCCGCCGCAAUUUUAUUGUUGAAUUUAUCAGUACAAAUUUAGGCAGGGGCUGCCGGCGGCGAUUAACGAUCAUUCGCGGCAAAGUGGAGGAGGAGAGGAGGAAAGGGUUGUUUCUGAGUUUAAAAUCAUGUUGAGUGGAUUUGUCUUUUUUUUAAAUAAUAUUUUGUUAAAUAAAACGUGAGUAGAU